This is a long non-coding RNA of Symsagittifera roscoffensis, 11457 nucleotides long. RefSeq lists it as uncharacterized. Lineage: Eukaryota; Metazoa; Xenacoelomorpha; Acoela; Convolutidae. The transcript has 2 exons. The record is from RefSeq and is a predicted model, not a curated record.
UCGCAUUUGUUAUCAACAUUUGCUUUACAAAUUUCAUCCGCGUGUGCUAUUUCAGAGCAGUUUGUUUUGCGGCAUUUUAUUGCUCCCACGGAUCAGUUGCUUCCUGUUACCCUGGAUGAAGAAACACGGAAUUUGCCGAGUGAAUCAUUUUGCAGUUUACUGGGCUAAGCUUUCAUUCGAUCAUUCCAGUAAGUCUAUUUAUUGCUCAGUCAUAGUUUUGAGUUUGUUCUACUUAGCCAAUUCGAUACUUCGAACAGCGAAGCUGCAUCCAUAGUGAAGUCAGAGCGGACCUCUACAGGCUAAGUUUUCUUAUCUUUGUCUUGCUUGAAAGUUUUUCUCUUUAUAAAAUUGAUCUUUCAACUCUUUUGAUCUGCAUCUGCUCAGCUGUGUGUGUCCGGAAUCACGUUUGUUUGAAGAACUAUGAGCGUCGUCGUUUUCUACGUCUAUAACCAAGGUUACCCAUUUUACUGCGAAUCGACUAUAGCACAAACAAGGUCAUAAAAACACGAUUUAAAACGUCAAUUUUUGUUUGUAUUCAGUUGACUGCAUGCAAGGAAAAAACCAGUUUACAUAGUUGUUGUUAUUUAUCAAUGUAGUCGCCAAUACAAAUCAAGUUUUUUACCACAAAAUUUAGCAUUGUUACUCUUUCGAUAAGUAGACAUUGCUAUCAACCCGGAGCAUCACAAACUAAUUUCAAGUUAUUCGGAAUAGCCUGCUGAUACAGCUAGCCACUGAUGCAGUUUUGCAUUAUCCCAGAUAACUUAACCAGCUUCAUGUUACCGUGGCUGUUAUUGAAUUUCUCCUGUAUGACGGAUUGGAAUCAUUUUGUUUGCUAACAUUGACUGCUCGUGGUCAAUUGUGAUGAAAUGACAAUGAACCAGUUCACUGCCAUUACUCCCUGUGAUUAUCAUCUCUUACUACCCUCUUAGACUAGAACAGCUGUGCUGCUGUCAUCUCUCUCUCUCUCGUGCCAAGUAGUUAGUUAGUUCACUAUGUGAAACUGUGCUGUGCAGCUUGUCUCUUCUAUCCCGUUAGUUUUACUAAUUCCACCCUGCAAGGUAAAUUCUAUAAAUAAUCAUCAUUCAUUGAUUGACCUGUGGUGCAGUUGCUUUGCAUUCAUUAUUCAGCUUUAUCACUGAAUGUAUUUAUUGUAAUAACCUGAAAGUGCUGCUCAGUAAUCACCAUUUAGCUGCAAAUUUUUCCUCCUUAGAAUAUCUGUUGAAAAGCGUGCUAAAUAAGUCAAACCUAACAAACUCAACAGUUAUCUUAUCCAAGGAAAAAAAUAAGUCGACACCGAAGAAAUUUUGUAAAAAAUGGCCUUAGUUUUAGUUACGCACUCCUAUCCUCACUAAAUGGUUAAGUGUAUCGAAAAUCUUGCUGUCUAAAACAUGCCAAAUUUGGCAGCUGAAGGGUGUCUUCAGUCCAUUUACACAACCCGCCGUUUUUCAUAAAUGCAUGCUGGUUUAAAUACAUCAACUCGUCUUAGAAAUUUCAUGCGUUCUAUAAUUAGUGUCAACUCCACUGUGUACGCAGCUCAGGCUUAUUCGUUUUAUCCCAUUUGCGUGAAAUAAACGAGAGUCAAAGCACCUGUCCUUCGAAUAAUUCAUGAAAUUUAAGAUCUCAACCAUGACGUGUAUUUUGUCCAAUAUAAAAAAGAUUAACUUUUCCUUUCUGAAUGAAUUGGAUAAUCGUAAAUUGCCUACAAGAUUUAUGCUCGGCUUUUCACAUGAUUAGAUUUUUUUAAAUGUAGGGUUUGCUUGAAUUCCUACCCAUCUAGUAUUUGCUAGAGUUCCUUUCUGGCUGGUUUUAUUUUCGUAGACUGCCCUUGAUUUUUCCUGAAUAUUAACAAUGAGAACAAUAUUAACAAUGAGAAAUACAUUUUUUCUUUCUUUGAGUUGAAACAAUUAUAACGCGAAGGAGCCUCAAGCAGAUGACCUCAGAGUUCUGUGAUUUUGGCCUAUCAAUGAUCAUUUUUCAAUAGUAGUUUUAGAUGUGAUCACAUGACUUCACAUUCCUGUAGCCGGUAUCCUUGUUUGCAAAUUCGAGACAAUUUAUGGAAAAUACUUGCCCCCCCCCCCCCCGCCGUGCACUAAAUUUCACUUGUUCAUCCGAGUUUGUUCAGCUUUGCUUCUUGUGGUCUGCGAUUGAAGUGACGCGAAGUGAAGUGAAGUUAGUUGUUGGUUGUUGCGUUAUUUCCAAGUAGUGUUAGAGUAUGUUUGUGUGUGAAUGUGAAUGUUGGAAUGGAAGUAUAAUGGCGUCUCUCUUUCUCUCUUUUCCAUUCGCGUGUUUCCCAUUCUAGUUAAUCGCUUCUUAGUCACAUGCUCUCUCUCUCUCUCUCUUUCUCCAGUCUGUUGGUGCCAUACCAUUUCAUUAUUCAUAUCUUAUCUGUCUAUCUAUAUACAAAUAGUUCUAUUUCCCUCAACCUCCCCUACAUUCCACAUUCUAAUAUACAUACAGUGCGGUUGUAGAGCACAUACAGCCUGCAAAUUGCUCUUUCUUUCUUAAUCAUAAAUAUCUAUUUCCUCUACUUAGUGUUGUUGUCCUCUUUUGAACUAAUAAAGCGUUAUUUCUUUCUCGCCACAGUUGAUUCGAAAAAGGAAACCAAGUUUCCCUGAAGGAAAGAAGACUGAAUAAGCUCUCGAGGACGAAAUCAGACACGUUAUUUGACAUGUCGUAUUGGCUGAAGCUAUCUUCAUUUUUUUCAGCUUUUGCUUCAACUCUUUUUUUGUUGAUUUUUGAAUCUGUUGCUACAUUCAUGUGGAGGACACGUUUACUGUUUUUCUCCCAUUUCAAAAUGUAUUCUCAGCUCAAUUCUAUAGUAAUUCACGAGUAGUUGCUGCUGUGUCCCUGUGUGUGUUUGUGUGUGUGAAAUAGAGAGAGAGAAAGAGUCUGUGUUAUCUCUAUCGGGAUCAUUUUCCUUGUUCAAUAGUGGUCACUUUUUCAACUUUCUUUUUUUCUUCCUUUCCUUUCAUGACGACAGCGUGUUUGCUGCUCGUGCUGCAUGUAUUGUAUUGUAUACUUUUCCAUUCUAUUACAUGGACUGAAUCAAACUUACAGUAGAAAUAGCUGCGUAUGUCAGUCAAUCCUGCUUCACAUUGAAACUGAACUUUUUGCUCAUUGCCACUUGUUUGUCCACCAAUAAGCGAGAUGGCAUGUUUUCUGAAGAUCCAUCCAGUCACGAUUCUAGGUUGUGUUUUUCUCUUACAACCAAACCACACACAAUGACUUAACUGUUCUGUUUUCAUCUUUCUUCCUAACUGCACUCGUAGAGUGAGGCACUAAUCUCCUCUCCUCGUGACAGAUAAAUACCAAAUGAGCGAUCAAUUUUUAAACCAAUCAUUGUCCUUUAAACAGUCCAAAAUUGACCGAUCCCAUUUUCCCACAUAGUUUUUCCACAUUUUCCUAGGCUGAACAAUAAUCGCUAAACAAUAGUCUUUUUGAAGCAUUCUGGCACGAGAGAGGCAUUCCCCGCGAUACUACAAGAGGCUUUUGACCCAAAUGACAUGCUUUAAUGGCACUCUUGUACUUUUUUAUCGAAUCAAAACUGUUCAUUUUAGUAGAAUACGGGUGAAUUUUUUUAAGUUAAGCUACUGAGUUACUCGCUAGAGUUUUAAUCUUUACAGCCCCCCCCCCCCCCCGCGUCUUUACUCCAAAUGUAUUAAGGGAACAUGGCCAUGUCAUCAAAGCACAAUGACAUUACGAAGGUACUACGAAACAUGAGUUGUAUGGGCGGGUAAGUAGUAUUAGUAGUGGGAGGGGAACGUAAUUCUUUGUCUGCUGUCUCUGGCUCAUUUUGAUCGUAAGAAUUAAUCAGACUGAUAUUAUGGACACCCACGUGAUCUGAUGUGAUGUGAUCUACUGGGGGGACCCAUGGGCGGGUUGAACAGAUAACCCGCCCCUUGUCCCCACUCAUCUAUCGCCAAUGAGCAUGCAGUAUCUAUCUUUCGCUUCGCUUCUUACUUUCUGUCCCUCUCUUCAUAACUCCAUCUCUAUAAAUGCCCAAAUAUCUGAGGGCCAUUUUAGCUAGUUGCAUUCAUUUUGUUUCGGAGAUGCGAAAAGUUGUUACUGUGAGGCGAACAGAGAUUUGAUGUCCAAGGUAGAAAGCAGUGAACUAGGAAGAGGUAUUUUGUAAGGGUUCUAAUUGCAAACACUUAUCAAAUUUGCUGAAAAGCUACUAUACCAUGCUGUUUCUUAGAGGUUAUUUUUAAUUAGUAGUUGUGGGUAUCUGCUCGGUAUUAUUGUUUUGUUAUGAUAGAUUAAAACCAUUUCUUUUCUGUUUCCAAGUUUUCCAACCUUGUAAAAUGUGGCAGCUUGAAGCGCCCAUGUUCCAGUUGGUAACUUGCCUUUCAUUUACUUCAUCCUCUUUUCCUUUUUUGUUCUCCUAUUUUCUUCUUAAUUAUACCUAAAAUGAUGCCAAUGAUGUGGCCGAGGCAAAAAAUGAUUAGAAAUCGAAAUCUGUUUCUUGCCUCCACAACCGCCAUCUGCACAGAAAAAAAAACCAAAAACACUAUAAAACGAAGAGCUACAUUGCCUGUCUUCACAAAAAGCUAAAAACAAGUAGAUACAAAUUAGCUUUACUCUUUGACAAAAAUUAUAUUUUUGCUUACCAGAAGAAAAGCUAUUUUCAUAUUUUUUAGCAGCAAAAGCUAUUUUCGCUACAUUAAACGUUUCAUGUGUUUUGCUAAAAAAAAUAAGCGGAAAGGAUGCAGUUUGAAAAAAAAUCUUAACAAAUACGACAUGCUUUUGUUCUAGAUGUAACAACGGUUGCACAGUCUCUGUUAUUGAGUGUAAAUUGAUGUUGAACAUCAGUGUCUGAUGUGUUUGCGAAUUGAAAUAUCAUGUAAAGAAAUCAAUGCUAACAAAUAACCGGACAGCAAAUAACCCCGCCUCCUGAAAACAGGUGACUCAAGCACAACCCUGAAAGGUGAAAGCCAAACAAUUAUUCCACCAGUUGUGGUAAAACACGCUAAAUAUUUUUUCGCUCCACAGAGAAACAAGAGAAAAGUGAAUAUUGGGGAGAAAAAGGAGCAAAAACAGAUGUAAUCUUACUUGCCUCAAUUGAAGAACUGCUUUUUAAAAUGUUGUAAAAACAGAAGCUGGACGGUGGGUUGGGUUUUGCAGCAGGGUUGGGUUUGAAUCUAUGCACCUGAGGAGACAUCUGGCUCGAAAUACCAAACUAACCAUCCCCCUCACAGUUAUUUUAACCCCUCUUGUUCACUCAGCAGCUAACCUGUUUGCUCUUUGCAAUUUAGAUCCAAUUUAGUCCACCUACAUUUGAUGAAAAUGUCCUCGUAUCCUUUAACUAAUUUUCAAUAUCAGUCGAACUUGCGCAACGUGAAAAUGAAUAAAACUAUGAUGAUUUUUUGAAUGAUUGAUUUAUAUGUUUUUUGUUGAGAUAGACUCGUGGUUAAUUUUUGACAUGACCUGGUGGUGGCAUUGGAAACGAAAAAGAAACAGCUGCUGCUGCAGGAAAGAAAAUAGAAUAAAUAUUUAUGAGCCAGGUGGUCAUUGCUAUUCUUUUCUUUUCACCACUUCAAGUUAAUCAUCGAACCGUAUCCAACCUCUAUCUACGCUCUAUUUUUACUGUGAAACAUUAAAAGGACAUUUUCACAAUUGAAUGAAAAGGAGCAGGUUUGUUAUUUAGACAAUAAAGUAGAGAGAAGCAUUUAGAGUUAGAUAGUCUUCUCGUUUUCUAUUUCUACACAUACGACCAAAUCAUACUUGAGCUAUGAUUGUAUGUUGAGCUCAGCUGCAAUUUAGACUACACAGGGCCGCCCAAAAGCCUCUCCUAAAGUGAGAGGAGAGAAGGAGAAAGACUCCUACUCCUGCUACUAUCUCAACUCAAUCAAUACUACCUUAACAAUAACAACAGACUGCUAUCAUCUUAUCAUGUUAGAUGUAGAAAAGAACAACUAUACUAGUUCUGCUUGCUAAUCUGCUUCAAAAGCCACCUUUUAAAGAUAAAGGAUGAAACAAAACUUAAUUAGCUUCAAAACAUUGCUGGAUGUUUUGCCUGGUUGAUGUUGAUUCGAUUAACUGCCAAUCAUUCUGAUCAUAACCCGACUGUUUUCAUCGUUGAGCCAUUAGAGUGUAUUGUGUCUUAUUCGUUCGAGUAGUUUAUUUAUUCCCGCUAUCACGCUUUCGGUUACUAGUGAUACAUCUCGGGUGGAUACAGAACAGAACCCGCAGUUUAAUCUAAUCUAAGCUAGACCCCACUUCAUUUCAUUUCCGCCGCUCCUCUUUUCACAUCCCAAAACACCACUAAACACAUACUAACUUUUUCGGGUGAACCGACAUUUUUUGACUUUAUAAUGGUUUAUAAAUUUAUGAUUAACAAUAUUGACCCGAUAAAAAAAUGAAGCAGAAAGGAAUAAAAAACAGGUGUUUUCUUAGUGUUUCAUGAAUUUUUUGUCCAUGUCAUCAUUCGAAUCACCUUGUGUGAUUUGUUGUUGUUGAUGUUUUGUACUCAUUGUUUGGUUAUUUGUUAGUACACUUCUACUUCCUAUUAAUGCGUUACUACCUGUCAAUCGACGGAUCAUUGUUGACUGUUUGUUGUUUGUUUGGCUGUGGAAAACAAGGAUUCUCUGAAAUGAAAGAGAAGAUUAGAAAAAAGAAGAAGAAAUUGAUUUUUAUCUUUGUGACUGGCACUAUUUUUGAAAUAUUGUCUUCGUGUGUUGUGUUGUCGCCUUAGAAUUAAAGAAUUCAGUUCAACUUACCACGCUACUAUUGUAUAGCACGCCGCCCUUCAAUUCGUUAAGAAUUUAUCCCUCGCUAAUCAAUGCAGUUGAAGUAACAAGGGAGUUGAAUUGUAUUAACUUGAAUGGCACUGGUUGAAACAAUCGCCUAAAACAAAGGAUCACUGUCGAAAGAUAUCUGUGCCAACAAUUUUUUUUACCCUAACUUACCAGACCCUUUAUCACCAGGUACACCAUAAAGUCCCAAGUAUUUAAUAUUUCUUCAGAAGUUGACUUAUUAUUCAGUCAAUUAGUCACAUUGGUAGUGAAAUAAAUAUUGGCUGUAAGUUUUGCGAAGGAAACAGUUUGUUGUGUGGCAAGUACAAGAAUGUGGUGACUGGGUUGAAGCAUUCAUGGAUGUGAUGAGUAUUCUGGGAUGGCCCUCUUCCUCUUCUGUGUCCCUCAGCUGCAAGUGAAAGUAAUCAGGUGAGGUCACUCUGCAUUGCAUACAUCAUACUCAUCAGUAAAUGUGAUCGUUAGUCGUGUACGUGCUGUAAUACGCGUAACCGAACAGGUGUGCAGUUGUGUAUUGGUGUCGUGUCUAAAGAAGCCUGGCUCGCUUCAUUAACCAACUGCAACUUGGUAUGGCUAGUUUAACUUGCUUGUAAGUGAGCGAAUACAAUGUGUCUUCUCUCUCUCCUCCUCCUCAGUCUCUGAUUGAUCAUUAGAUGUACAACACAACACUACUGUGAACAUUCUAUUCAAUUCAGUCAGCCAAAUUCGCAGUAACCAGACUACUGCGACAUGUAGUAUCUUCAUAACCUCCUCAUUCUCUCUCUAUCUAUCUUUUUUGUCUCCUUGUCCCCAGAUACAGUAGGGAUUCUUUCUCUCCCUGUCUUAAUAAUCCCAACUCCUACUUGGCUUCAACAGAUGUCUGUCUCUUCUCAGCCUACGUGUGAUGUGUUUAGUUUCUAACUGUUCAGCGCCAAUCAUCAAUUGUCAUAAUUCCCGCCUGUUUUUGUUGGUGAUCAUAUGUGCAAUAGUGGGCUCAAUUGGAAAAGUUCCCAACCACUCUUUAGACAUCUCACAAAAACCGGUCAGCAAGCCAAUUGAAAUGUUCAUAUCAAAGCACAAAAGCCGUCAUUUGAAUACCAGAUUGGAUUGCUUUUGUGUUAAUUUUGUGUUUGUUAUUAUUCAAAAUGUUUACUCAAUUUACCUCACCGGCUUCAGUUUUGUAGUUAUGUGAUUAGGAUGGCAAGUGCAGUGGUAGUAGUCGUCACCAUUCUGUAUUUCAUUGUUACCCUCUUCUUUCUCUUUUCGGCCAAGGAGUCUGUGGCUCUGGUGUAAUACUUCAGCUCAAUUGGUUGUUUGCCAUUAUAUAUGUUCAGAGUGCAUCAGUCAUGAAAAUGAAUCUGCUCCGGUGUGAAUAAACGAAACGAUCACAAUCAGUCAAACAAACCGAACAGCAAAAGUGAUCGGUAGGCUCAUUGUACGUUUCCACGCCAAUAAACGGAGUUGCAAUUAGUCAGUCGCUAAAUAUCAUUUCUGUUUUGCGUGUAGACUGGGGUUGCGUUGUCUUGUCCUAACUGUUCAUCAAACAUAAUUAAAAACUGUCUUUUUAACCAGCUUUUCCGAGAAGAAAAAACACGAUAUUUUUACCAGUGAAUAUUUCCGGCAGAGUUUCGAUGCAGCUUUCAGUAGAAAAAGGAGCCGAAAGUAAGUUGUGAAUUCAUGUAGUCAGUUUUGGCGAAGCCUUACCGCGUCAGUUGAAUGUUUUAGGUAGUUUAUCUAUCCACAUAUGUUUUUAAUCUUCUCAAAAAAUGGCGCACAACUAUCAGUUUUCGAUGAAUGCAAUCCAGUAAAAAAAGAAAAGACAUUGAUUUAGUUAGUUACUGAGCUUCACCAAACUGUAAGGACAAUCUUUGUGGACAUGUUGCAAAUGCAGCUCCGCUCAGCUGUGGUGAAGGUUGUUCUGACUCUAACUUGUGGUUGACUGGCUGUGAUGUGACGUUGUAGCUUUGCCAACAUUGAUACCACUUUUCAUCUUUUUGCAAGCAUAUUAAACAGAGCAGCUUGAGGUAUCUGAACUUUUCUAUUCAUUCUUUUCCCAUAGCCAUCAACUGGGCCCAGUUUCUUCCAUGCUGUUCGUAUCAUUAUAGUGUUUUUGACAAAUUAACAAAACAAGCUCUCGAUAAACCCAGAAAAGUUGAUAACUUACAUUGAUUUAAAAUUGAAACUAACUGUAAGGUCCGAGCAGAUUGUCACUUUUGUUUAAAAAAUAACAAUAGUUUGAGCUCGAAAACCUUUGUUUGUUUGAAACUUUAGUUUUCCGUUGGAGUUUUGUAAUCUGUGUCUUAGUCAAUAGUUGAUUUGUUUUCCCAUUUUGGAGAAUGUCUGAAAACUAAACUUUUUCAUAAACUGCACAAUUGCCAUGCGUUGCCGUAAAAUCAAAUUCUCAGAGCCCAAUUUGAAAGAAGCAUAUGAAAUGAAAGCAAACGAAUAUCUUCAACUACCCCCCCCCCCCCCCCUUCCCUCAUAUGGUACCUAGUACAGAAUCACAGAAUCCCCACCCCUAUAAAGAACUAUAUCAAUGCCCCUCUUAAAGAAUCUGUGGAUUUUGUACCUAGUAACUAUUUACCCCUUUUUUCGUGCAAUUGUAGGGAUUAAUCAAAGAGGUAAGUCAGUAAAAGCUCUAAUUUGUAUAAGUUUUAUGAACAAAAAACAGUUUUUUGGCUCUUCAGUUAGAAUUUCUGUUUGUUCUCUGAUAAUUAUGAGUAAGUAUGCGCGGUUCUGUCGUACCAAUCACGCUAUAUCAUUAGAGCUACAUGUGUAAAUUUCAUCUUGUUUCCAUAUGCUAGUAAAUUGGGCUUGGCUGGUAUAGUGUGUUUCUGAAUGGAGCAGAAACAACAUGUUCAUAAGGAUAAUUCUCUAUUUCUGCCAGAAAAAAUUGAAUAAUUCGCUAACUCUGCCAGAAAAAAAACACAGAAUAAUUCGCUGUUUCAGAAAAAAAAACCGAACAUGUUCAUUACAAUAAUUCUGCAAUUCUGCCAGACAAAAAAAAUAUGCUAAUUCAGAAAAAACGUGUUCAAUAAGAUAUUUCACUAAUUCUGACAAUUGUUUAUAAUGUUAUGAUGCAACUGCUCAAUGUGUUCAUGUGCAUGUUUCGUUUAUAGGUUUUGGUGACUUCUAAACGACUCAAAAUUUGAUAGUUGAAAAUCACAUGUCAACCGACAAAAAAAACAUAACUACUCUUUUGAAAUGAAUCACGAGAAAGGAUCAAUUUGGCCUAACCAACGUUUGCUUGGCUGCUUUCUCACUAAAUGUUUUAAGGAUAGUUGUAGUCAAUAAUAGGGGAUGGACAUUCUAUUAAGCUCACUCCCGGAUAUCAUGGUGUGAAAAAAAGAUAUGUCAGUGUUUUUCCUCAUGGCGACAUUCCGGAGCUCGCUUCUCCUUUGUCGCUCCUGUACAUGCUUAGAAUUAGCUGUGGCAUAAAACAAUUAUAAGCGUUUUUUAAACAACAAACAGUGAAACGGUUAUUGCCCCUAUCUUUCCUUUUAUCCGCAAGAAUAUGUUUUCAUCACACUUAUCUCUCAUAUAGCAGCACGCUUUUCAACACGACUGUAUUUGGUUGUUUCUCUCUGCUCUUCUUGUCAAGUGUCAUUUUGUUUCGUGUCAUUUUGUCCCGUGUCAUGAAGUGGUGAAGAGCCUUCCUUCGCUUCUUGGCCGAGUAAAACUGAAACUGAUUAAACAACUGCUAUGUAGUUUCUCGCCUCCUUUUUCAUUGUUUUUCUCUCUGCUAUCUGUCUUUAUAUGUGCAGCGACUGAACUUAACUGGAUCUACCUAACACAACCAAUCAAUAUUUAUUAUCUUUUACACUGUUUUCCGAAAAAGAACCCAUUUUGCUCUAAACUGUAAACAAGUAUCUGUCUAUGAGCAGCGGCAGACAUCCUAUUUCGACUCGGACUGAUAGGUAGAUUCCGCACUCAAUAUCAACUCAUUCGCACAAGCUCCUAAAAGAUCCAUUGCAGCUCACUUUAUCAACAGACCUAGAAAUCAUGUUUGUCAGCCUAUUUCUGAUCUGACCUCCUACCCCCCCCCCCCCAAUGCAAUGAAUUCAUAUACUAUAAUUUGAUGAAAUUAUACGUAUCAGAACACGAAUGGAGCUGUAAAUGUUAUUUUGCUAAUGUACUAAUGUAUGUAGUGUGAGAAUUUAUUUUGAUUGUUGUAAAAAAGAGAAUACGUCCAGCCAUUGACACCAACAAAGAGUUCUACUUAAUCUGUAACUCUGCCAUAUCAUCAUUUAGUGGAUCGAAUGAGACGAACACUCUUCAAAUUCGGAACUGCCAAAUACCUUCUACUACCGACGAUACCCACAAACGUCCACAACCCUGCUUAUGAGGUCCUAAAAUCGGAUUAGAUGGCGGCUGAUUUUUUCUCUAGCAAGUUGUCAAAUCCAGCAACAACAUCGCUCUUAGAAAUUCGACGAUCUAUUUGAAGCUGACACUGAGUUAACUCGAAACUAAAACUUUGAAUCUAGUUUAUCUUGGUAAAAUGUAUGUUUUUGUACUUAAGCUUUCAACAAGUUUUGUAAAUUUGGAAAUUUUGAACGAGCUGUGCUUUAUAUUUAUUAUCUUUAAUUGAUCUUGUGUCAAUGAGAUACAUUCAUACCUGUUAUUAGAUUAGUGUUUCUUUUUAUGGAGAUGAUACAUGAUUUCAUUUUUAGUCAAUGUAUGCCUGAACUCGAUGCUAAAGUUGUUAGUUUAAUUUAUUUCUUCUAUUCUG